Molecule: regulatory RNA element, 52 nt
Organism: Lachnospiraceae bacterium A2
Lineage: Bacteria; Bacillati; Bacillota; Clostridia; Lachnospirales; Lachnospiraceae
Rfam family: pemK RNA
Source: Rfam
AUAAUGAUACUUCCGUAAAACGGUCACAGAGAUGAUGGUGCGAUUCCAAUGU